UUUGUGAGUGGUCAGGCUGAGAACAGUGACACUGGAGAUGCACGUUCAUGUGAAUUCUCCAUGUUUUUCUUUCUCUCUUUCAAUGAAUACAACGUCGCCCGGUUGGAAUAUUAUCGCAAUUUUACGAGAAAAAUAGCAUACAAAUUUAUUUUAAACAGCGUUUGACAUGCUUCGAAGUACGGUAAUGGAAUAUUUUGAAAUAUUUUGUCUCGAAAUGCGCCCGCGCGUCACCCUUCGGAUACUGACAUGAACGCACGAACAAAACGGAGCUAUUUGGAUAUAACUAUGGAUUAUUUCGAACCAAAACAACAUUUGUUGUUGAAGUAGAAGUCCUGGGAGUGCAUUCUGACGAAGAACAGCAAAGGUAACACGCCGAAAACUGUGCACGGGUGGGUCUUUGACCCGUAAAUUAAAGACCUGUCCCCUGUGAUUGGGGUUCCAUAGCAGGCCGGUAUAUAUCUAAGGUCGACAGAGACGGUGACGGAAUCCACCCUACAUUGCUUUUCCCAGCCUACAAGACGAAGAAUCCCCCACCUAACCAACACCAAGCAGCGGAGAGAGGAGCGGCACGCUCAGUAUAUGGACUAUGGGGAAAGAUGGACUUGGGAGGAGAUUUUGGAUGGGGAUGGACCUUGGCAUCAGGCUGGGGAAUACCGUCGCCCACGGGAAGAGAUCGAGGAAUGGUGAAUGAAGCUACAUUUAAAAAAAAUUAUUUUUUGUUUCAGUUUCACAGCAAAUUUCCUGCAAUUCUUCACAUUUUCCAAUAAGUUAUGCCAUGUUAAUAUGAUAUCUGAGUGACUAACAAAAUCAAUGGGGGACCCUGGAAGGGUGGGCCCCUGGGUACAUGCCCUGCAUGGUCCGGUCGGUAAUUCGGCCAUGAUUACUACAACUUUAGAUAGCUGGCUAAACUAAGUACACUAAUUUACCAAUCUAAAUGCUUUAACUGACAUGGGCUAAUUGAGUGACAUAAAGUAACAAGAAUAAAACUGCUGCAACCAA
This 999-nucleotide long non-coding RNA is filed under the name Salmo salar (Atlantic salmon). RNAcentral's name for it is "lncRNA (ENSSSAG00000100257.1, ENSSSAG00000104242.1)". The record is from RNAcentral. Lineage: Eukaryota; Metazoa; Chordata; Actinopteri; Salmoniformes; Salmonidae.